RNAcentral lists this ribosomal RNA (1285 nucleotides) under Flavocillium acerosum. Its description in RNAcentral is "LSU rRNA". It matches the Rfam family "Eukaryotic large subunit ribosomal RNA", at positions 94 to 1410 of the family's 3401-position model. Lineage: Eukaryota; Fungi; Ascomycota; Sordariomycetes; Hypocreales; Cordycipitaceae. The record is from RNAcentral.
UGAAGCGGCAACAGCUCAAAUUUGAAAUCUGGCCCCCAGGGCCCGAGUUGUAAUUUGUAGAGGAUGCUUUUGGCGAGGCGCCUUCCGAGUUCCCUGGAACGGGACGCCAUAGAGGGUGAGAGCCCCGUCUGGUCGGACGCCAAGCCUGUGUAAAGCUCCUUCGACGAGUCGAGUAGUUUGGGAAUGCUGCUCAAAAUGGGAGGUAUAUGUCUUCUAAAGCUAAAUAUUGGCCAGAGACCGAUAGCGCACAAGUAGAGUGAUCGAAAGAUGAAAAGCACUUUGAAAAGAGGGUUAAAAAGUACGUGAAAUUGUUGAAAGGGAAGCGCCUAUGACCAGACUUGGGCCCGGUGAAUCAUCCAGCGUUCUCGCUGGUGCACUUUGCCGGGCACAGGCCAGCAUCAGUUUGGCGCGGGGGAUAAAGGCUCUGGGAAUGUGGCUCCCCCGGGAGUGUUAUAGCCCACUGCGUAAUACCCUGCGCUGGACUGAGGUACGCGCAUUGCAAGGAUGCUGGCGUAAUGGUCAUCAGCGACCCGUCUUGAAACACGGACCAAGGAGUCGUCUUCGUAUGCGAGUGUUCGGGUGUCAAACCCCUACGCGUAAUGAAAGUGAACGCAGGUGAGAGCUUCGGCGCAUCAUCGACCGAUCCUGAUGUUCUCGGAUGGAUUUGAGUAAGAGCAUACGGGGCCGGACCCGAAAGAAGGUGAACUAUGCCUGUAUAGGGUGAAGCCAGAGGAAACUCUGGUGGAGGCUCGCAGCGGUUCUGACGUGCGAAUCGAUCGUCAAAUAUGGGCAUGGGGGCGAAAGACUAAUCGAACCUUCUAGUAGCUGGUUUCCGCCGAAGUUUCCCUCAGGAUAGCAGUGUUGAACUCAGUUUUAUGAGGUAAAGCGAAUGAUUAGGGACUCGGGGGCGCUAUAUUGCCUUCAUCCAUUCUCAAACUUUAAAUAUGUAAGAAGCCCUUGUUACUUAAUUGAACGUGGGCAUUCGAAUGUAGCAACACUAGUGGGCCAUUUUUGGUAAGCAGAACUGGCGAUGCGGGAUGAACCGAACGCGAGGUUAAGGUGCCGGAGUGGACGCUCAUCAGACACCACAAAAGGUGUUAGUACAUCUUGACAGCAGGACGGUGGCCAUGGAAGUCGGAAUCCGCUAAGGACUGUGUAACAACUCACCUGCCGAAUGUACUAGCCCUGAAAAUGGAUGGCGCUCAAGCGUCCCACCCAUACCUCGCCCUCAGGGUAGAAACGAAGCCCUGAGGAGUAGGCGGACGUGGAGGUCAGUGACGAAGCC